GUCAAAAAAAGGUAAGCUACUAAGAGCGAAUGGUGGAUGCCUUGGUUGGUAGAGGCGAUGAAAGACGUGCUAGACUGCGAUAAGUCUCGGGGAGUUGUCAAGGAGCUUUGAUCCGGGAAUUUCUGAAUGGGGAAACCCAGUAUAUAGUGAUAUAUACUACCUAUAUGGAGCAAACGUGGGGAAUUGAAACAUCUUAGUACCCACAGGAAAAGAAAUCAAAUGAGAUUACGAAAGUAGCGGCGAGCGAAAUCGUAAAAGGGCAAACCACUAGUUUACUAGUGGGGUUGUAGGACUGUAACAUAGACUAAAAAGAGUUAAUAGAAUAAUCUGGAAAGUUUAAGCAUAGAGGGUGAUACUCCCGUAUAUGAAAACUCUUUUUUACUUAACAGUAUCCUGAGUAGGGCGAGGCACGUGAAACCUUGUCUGAAUCUGGGAAGACCACUUUCCAACCCUAAAUACUACUACCAAACCGAUAGUGAACAAGUACCGUGAGGGAAAGGUGAAAAGAACGGGGGUGACCCGAGUGAAAUAGAACCUGAAACCAUUUGCUUACAAUCAUUCAGAGCACGAUUCUUUAUGACGUGUGAUGGACUGCCUUUUGCAUAAUGAGCCUGCGAGUUGUGAUAUCUGGCAAGGUUAAGGAAAUCCGGAGCCGUAGCGAAAGCAAGUCUUAAUAGGGCGUUUAGUCAGAUAUUGCAGACCCGAAACGAAGUGAUCUAUCCAUGAGCAGGUUGAAACCGGUGUAAGAGCCGGCGGAGGACCGAACCCGCUGACGUUGAAAAGUCUUGGGAUGACUUGUGGAUAGGGGUGAAAGGCCAAUCAAACUUCGUGAUAGCUGGUUCUCUCCGAAAUAUAUUUAGGUAUAGCGUUAUGUAGUAAUUAGAGGGGGUAGAGCACUGAAUGGGCUAGGGCAUACACCAAUGUACCAAACCCUAUCAAACUCCGAAUACCUUUAAUGUAAUCAUAGCAGUCAGGCGGCGAGUGAUAAAAUCCGUCGUCAAGAGGGGAACAACCCAGACUACCGACUAAGGUCCCAAAAUCUUAUUUAAGUGGAAAACGAUGUGAAGUUACUUAAACAACCAGGAGGUUGGCUUAGAAGCAGCCAUCCUUUAAAGAUAGCGUAAUAGCUCACUGGUCUAGUGAUUUUGCGCGGAAAAUAUAACGGGGCUAAAAUAAGUACCGAAGUCGUAGACUUAGUUUUACUAAGUGGUAGGAGAGCGUUGUAUUUAGCGUUGAAGAUGUACCGGUAAGGAGCGUUGGAGCAAAUACAAGUGAGCAUGCAGGCAUGAGUAGCGUUAAAUCAGGUGAGAAUCCUGAUCGCCGAAAACCCAAGGUUUCCUACGCGAUGCUCGUCAUCGUAGGGUUAGUCGGGUCCUAAGCAAAGUCCGAAAGGGGUAUGCGAUGGAAAAUUGGUUAAUAUUCCAAUACCAAUUAUUAUGUGCGAUGGAAGGACGCUUAAAGUUAGUGGAGCUAACUGAUGGAAUAGUUAGUCUAAGGUCGUAGGUUGAGUUAUAGGCAAAUCCGUAACUCUUUAUCCGAAAGCUUAAAGGCUUACAAAGCUCUUCGGAGUAGCGUAAGAAUCCAUGAUACUAUAGAGCCAAGAAAAGUUUCUAAGUUUAGUAAUAAUUGCCCGUACCGUAAACCGACACAGGUGGGUGGGAUGAGUAUUCUAAGGCGCGUGGAAGAACUCUCUUUAAGGAACUCUGCAAAAUAGCACCGUAUCUUCGGUAUAAGGUGUGCCUACCAGGGUGCAAGCCCUAGAGGUUACAACAAAGAGUCCCUCCCGACUGUUUACCAAAAACACAGCACUCUGCUAACACGUAAGUGGAUGUAUAGGGUGUGACGCCUGCCCGGUGCUCGAAGGUUAAUUGAUGGAGUUAGCAUUAGCAAAGCUCUUGAUCGAAGCCCGAGUAAACGGCGGCCGUAACUAUAACGGUCCUAAGGUAGCGAAAUUCCUUGUCGGUUAAAUACCGACCUGCAUGAAUGGCGUAACGAGAUGGGAGCUGUCUCAAAGAGGGAUCCAGUGAAAUUGUAGUGGAGGUGAAAAUUCCUCCUACCCGCGGCAAGACGGAAAGACCCCGUGGACCUUUACUAUAGCUUGACACUGCUACUUGGAUAAAGAUGUGCAGGAUAGGUGGGAGAUUAUGAUCUAUAGAUGCUAGUCUAUAAGGAGUCAUCCUUGAGAUACCACUCUUCUUUAUUCGGGUAGCUAACUAGCCUAAGUUAUCCUUAGGUAGGACAAUGUCUGGUGGGUAGUUUGACUGGGGCGGUCGCCUCCCAAAUAAUAACGGAGGCUUACAAAGGUUGGUUCAAAACGGUUGGAAAUCGUUUGUAGAGUAUAAAGGCAAAAACCAGCUUAACUGCGACACCGACAAGUGGAGCAGAGACGAAAGUCGGUCUUAGUGAUCCGGUGGUUCUGUGUGGAAGGGCCAUCGCUCAAAGGAUAAAAGGUACCCCGGGGAUAACAGGCUGAUCUCCCCCAAGAGCUCACAUCGACGGGGAGGUUUGGCACCUCGAUGUCGGCUCAUCGCAUCCUGGGGCUGGAGCAGGUCCCAAGGGUAUGGCUGUUCGCCAUUUAAAGCGGUACGCGAGCUGGGUUCAGAACGUCGUGAGACAGUUCGGUCCCUAUCUGCCGUGGGCGUAAGAAGAUUGAGGAGAGUUGACCCUAGUACGAGAGGACCGGGUUGAACCAACCACUGGUGUAUAAGUUGUCCUGCCAAGGGCACCGCUUAGUAGCUAAGUUGGGAUGUGAUAAGAGCUGAAAGCAUCUAAGCUCGAAGCCAACUCCAAGAUUAAUCUUCUUUUAAGAGCUCUUAUAGACUAUAAGUUUGAUAGGCUGGGUGUGUAAUUGAUGUAAGUCAUUUAGCUGACCAGUACUAAUAGCUCGUUUGCUUAUCUAUUUU
Molecule: ribosomal RNA, 2903 nt
Filed under: Campylobacter ureolyticus
Lineage: Bacteria; Pseudomonadati; Campylobacterota; Epsilonproteobacteria; Campylobacterales; Campylobacteraceae
Description: bacterial LSU rRNA
Rfam family: Bacterial large subunit ribosomal RNA
Source: RNAcentral